AUACGGAGGAUGCAAGCGUUAUCCGGAUUUAUUGGGUUUAAAGGGUGCGUAGGCGGUUUGCUAAGCGGGAGGUGAAAUGCCGGCGCUCAACGUCGGAAGUGCCUCCCGAACUGGUGGACUUGAAUGACUCUGCCGUGGGCGGAAUGUGUAGUGUAGCGGUGAAAUGCUUAGAGAUUACACAGAACACCGAUUGCGAAGGCAUCUCACGAAGGGUUGAUUGACGCUGAGGCACGAAAGCGUGGGGAUCAAACAGGAUUAGAUACCGUGGUAGUCCACGCAGUAAACGAUGAUGGCUAACCGCUGGGCUUAUCAGUUCAGUGGCCAAGCGGAAGCGAUAAGCCAUCCACCUGGGGAGUACGACCGCAAGGUUGAAACUUAAAGGAAUUGACGGGG
RNAcentral lists this ribosomal RNA (393 nucleotides) under uncultured bacterium. Its description in RNAcentral is "partial 16S ribosomal RNA". It matches the Rfam family "Bacterial small subunit ribosomal RNA", at positions 523 to 918 of the family's 1533-position model. The record is from RNAcentral.